CACUCCUGCGGGAGGCAGCAGUGGGGAAUCUUGGACAAUGGGCGCAAGCCUGAUCCAGCCAUGCCGCGUGAGUGAUGAAGGCCCUAGGGUUGUAAAGCUCUUUCACCGGUGAAGAUAAUGACGGUAACCGGAGAAGAAGCCCCGGCUAACUUCGUGCCAGCAGCCGCGGUAAUACGAAGGGGGCUAGCGUUGUUCGGAUUUACUGGGCGUAAAGCGCACGUAGGCGGACUAUUAAGUCAGGGGUGAAAUCCCGGGGCUCAACCCCGGAACUGCCUUUGAUACUGGUAGUCUUGAGUUCGAGAGAGGUGAGUGGAAUUCCGAGUGUAGAGGUGAAAUUCGUAGAUAUUCGGAGGAACACCAGUGGCGAAGGCGGCUCACUGGCUCGAUACUGACGCUGAGGUGCGAAAGCGUGGGGAGCAAACAGGAUUAGAUACCCGUGUAGUCCCAUGA
RNAcentral lists this ribosomal RNA (450 nucleotides) under uncultured organism. Its description in RNAcentral is "partial 16S ribosomal RNA". It matches the Rfam family "Bacterial small subunit ribosomal RNA", at positions 334 to 800 of the family's 1533-position model. The record is from RNAcentral.